GUAGUGCCUUUCGGGUAAUGUAGUUCCCGCCGCGCGCUGGGUGAGCCUGCCUGGCCAGGGGAGAGGGCGCGGGGCGGGCGAGCUCUGAGUCCCCAGGGCCAGCUCUGCCCCACGAGACUCCUUGUUCUGACGAUGGGACGGGCUGUGGAGGGGAGAACAGACUGUACCUGAAGGCCAGUGAGGAGCCCCUGAUGAUGAGCGACUGCACCAGGUAGUGGCAAUAGAGACAGCAGAGGUGCCUGGACUCUGGAUGUGUUGCUUCAGUAGGACCAGCCCGGUUUCCUGAUGUGAGGCAGUGAGAGACAGCUAUCAAGGUGAACCUGGGUGUUUGAACUCAGCGGCUUGAUGGAUGGAAGUUCCAUCAACUGAGAUGUGGAAGUUGGUGGCUGGAGCAGGUUCCUGGGAGAAGAUCUGGAGUGGUCUGGUGACAUUUGAGAAUGUGGCUGUGUAUUUCUCCCAGGGGGAGUGUGGAGGCUCCUUAGUGUAACCCAGAGGCACCAGUACUGUGAUGUUGUGUCGGAGAACUUUCAGCUCAUUGGCUCGCUGGGCUCAGCAUGCUGGAAGCUGUUUCUCUAAAGUAGAAUAGUUAUCUGCAGAAGAAGAUGGAGACUUGCUUCCAAAUCUGAGAGAUCUGUGCUGCAAUUCUCCUGUUGCUGCUUCCUGGAGGCUCCAUGUGGUGUCCUGAUUUGCCACAGACACUUCAAGUAUCAUCGAGUCUGCUGGAUCGUGAGGCCCAGGAACUGCCUGCCUCAUACUGCCCUGGAUUGCAUGAUGACAAAUGGUUUAAGUCGCCUUUAACUCUGUGCGGGAUGGACUGGCAACAGAGUUGGGCACUGCUGCCCUGAAGGGACGCAAAGCCCUUUUAUGGGUUGGGUUGUCUCCUUGUCCAAUGGCUACCAACCUGAGAAGUACCAAAGGAGGUUCUUCAUGCUGCAAGUGUGACCCCAGACAACGAUUUGAAUCCACAUGAAAAAACAGCACUGGUGAGUAUGUAAGUAUAAAAGGAAGUAUAAAUGCAUAUUUCUUUUCUUAUUUUAAAAGCAAUGGUAUAAAACCAUAUAGUCAUCUGUCAAUGAUGGGGAUACGUUCUGAGAAAUAUGUCUUUAGACGAUUUCAUCGUUG
Molecule: long non-coding RNA, 1122 nt
Filed under: Equus asinus (donkey)
Lineage: Eukaryota; Metazoa; Chordata; Mammalia; Perissodactyla; Equidae
Description: lncRNA (ENSEASG00005028337.1)
Source: RNAcentral